This 321-nucleotide unclassified non-coding RNA is filed under the name Hevea brasiliensis (rubber tree). The record is from RNAcentral. Lineage: Eukaryota; Viridiplantae; Streptophyta; Magnoliopsida; Malpighiales; Euphorbiaceae.
GAAAUAGUCUAGCCAUGCAGAUAAUUCACCAUCGUUUUAAAUUAUAAUUUUUGGAAAAAAAUGACAAACUCAAAAAACAUAUAUUCACAAUCAAUUCAAUUUCCUUCAUGUUCUUCAAUGCAAAAGAAAAAGGCCAAAAUUAGGUGAAUCGGAAAAAUGUACUAUAGAAGACAAUGACUAAAACGACAAGUUCAGAUAUAUAAGAUUGCAGUACCACAACCAAACCAAAAAACACAAAACAAGUCCCACCAAGUUGUCAAACAAAACAGAAUUCACAAUUCUACCAAGCAUCACUCACCCCACAUUUAACACUUGAUGAUG